This is a non-coding RNA of Trichobilharzia regenti, 45 nucleotides long. The record is from Rfam. NCBI's taxonomy places the organism in Eukaryota, Metazoa, Platyhelminthes, Trematoda, Strigeidida, Schistosomatidae.
AUCCAGAUGACAGGUCCCAAGUAGGACGAAAUGCGCAUCCUGGAU